Molecule: transfer RNA, 74 nt
Filed under: Enterococcus faecium
Lineage: Bacteria; Bacillati; Bacillota; Bacilli; Lactobacillales; Enterococcaceae
Also listed under: 14 other names
Description: tRNA-Arg
Rfam family: tRNA
About the family: Transfer RNA (tRNA) molecules are approximately 80 nucleotides in length. Their secondary structure includes four short double-helical elements and three loops (D, anti-codon, and T loops). Further hydrogen bonds mediate the characteristic L-shaped molecular structure. tRNAs have two regions of fundamental functional importance: the anti-codon, which is responsible for specific mRNA codon recognition, and the 3' end, to which the tRNAs corresponding amino acid is attached (by aminoacyl-tRNA synthetases). tRNAs cope with the degeneracy of the genetic code in two manners: having more than one tRNA (with a specific anti-codon) for a particular amino acid; and 'wobble' base-pairing, i.e. permitting non-standard base-pairing at the 3rd anti-codon position.
Source: RNAcentral
GCGCCCGUAGCUCAAUUGGAUAGAGUGUCUGACUACGGAUCAGAAGGUUAGGGGUUCGACUCCUCUCGGGCGCG